RNAcentral lists this transfer RNA (88 nucleotides) under Amborella trichopoda. It matches the Rfam family "tRNA". From Rfam's summary of the family: Transfer RNA (tRNA) molecules are approximately 80 nucleotides in length. Their secondary structure includes four short double-helical elements and three loops (D, anti-codon, and T loops). Further hydrogen bonds mediate the characteristic L-shaped molecular structure. tRNAs have two regions of fundamental functional importance: the anti-codon, which is responsible for specific mRNA codon recognition, and the 3' end, to which the tRNAs corresponding amino acid is attached (by aminoacyl-tRNA synthetases). tRNAs cope with the degeneracy of the genetic code in two manners: having more than one tRNA (with a specific anti-codon) for a particular amino acid; and 'wobble' base-pairing, i.e. permitting non-standard base-pairing at the 3rd anti-codon position. Lineage: Eukaryota; Viridiplantae; Streptophyta; Magnoliopsida; Amborellales; Amborellaceae. The record is from Rfam by way of RNAcentral.
GGAGAGAUGGCUAAGUGGAUUAAGGAGUCGGAUUGCUAAUCCGUGGUGCAAGCUAUUUGUACAGGGGGUUCGAAUCCCUCUCUCUCCG